This 201-nucleotide long non-coding RNA is filed under the name Lathyrus oleraceus (garden pea). Its description in RNAcentral is "Pisum sativum (pea) long non-coding RNA (PSAT_LNC024806)". The record is from RNAcentral. Lineage: Eukaryota; Viridiplantae; Streptophyta; Magnoliopsida; Fabales; Fabaceae.
AGGAUGUCGCAUCCUGGGCCUACGUAGUUUGUCAGACACAAACAUCAGAGUCGACGUAGUUCUUGGAACGGGAACGUGCUUGCUAGGAUGUCGCAUCCUAUGCAUACAUAUCUUCUCUAACCAGAAUAAGAAUCAGAGCACUCGUAGCUCGGCUAACGCACGCCGAAACAAAACACUGAACAAAGACGCUGAGACGACAAA